ACCUCGAUGGCUCAGAUGGAUAGAGUGUCUGCCAUGCAAGCAGGAGAUCCCGGGUUCGAAUCCCGGUCGAAGCA
Non-coding RNA from Schistocerca nitens (vagrant locust), 74 nucleotides. The record is from the annotation of a RefSeq genome assembly. NCBI's taxonomy places the organism in Eukaryota, Metazoa, Arthropoda, Insecta, Orthoptera, Acrididae.